AACUUCAAGUUAAUAUUCAUUCUAUCUUCAUUAGUUAAUCCAGGUAGCAAGGACACCUGGUCAAAAACAAACUCCCUUUUUCCCUCCCCUCAAAAAACCACAAGGGACCUAAACCCCGAUGGCCAGGCUGUAUCUGUACCUGUGCUAAGGACCCACAUGUAGGAUUGUCUUCUCCACCAGCCCCAUGUUAACUUUGGGACCAUUUAUUGUAAGUCAGUGUUUCCAGAGGUGAUUUUUAAAGUUCUGGUAAGAAAAUUUAGUAAAUCCCUUCCAUUUAUUUAUAAAUAGGAUGCUUUCUGUUUAUCCUUCCACUCAGUGUUCUUUUCUGAAAGAAUAAGGGAUCAGUUUAGCUCUCAUACUCUAGUCCCCCAAAAACUCACUGCAGAGAAAUGAUUGCUUCAUGGAGAUUACAUCCCACUGUUCCGAGAAUGCACAGCUAAGUCUCUACAUUCCAUUAUAAAGUGGAUGUCUUGUGCCUUCCUUUCAGAAGAAAAUUGAAGCAUUAAAAGGUUAAAAUGACUUCUGGAUUCCAUAGACAAAAACCAAUUAUGAAAUAGAAUCCAAGAUUUCUAGGUCACAUUAAUGAACAGACCUACUUUAUUCCCAGCUUCUACUCUGGCGUUUCAUGAUGAUUUGCCUGUAAUGAGCUAUGAGCUACUUACACUUUGUCUUCUGCAAAAACAGGCAACAUAGGUGGGCUGCCCUCACCCAUCAGGCGACAGAUGAGCUCAUCCAACAGCCGAGAGGGAAUGCCCAUUUCUGAGCCGGCAGUAAGUUGCACAUGCAGCCCAGCCCAUAGGCUCUGUCACUCACCGGGUGUCACAAAGGAGCGGGUUUGUGUGCUUUUCUCUCUCAGCAUAUCUUAGAAACAUUUCGCUCGGUGCACUAAAUAUGAAACUGCCAUCCACGUGGAGAAUGGGGUUGCUUAUUAAACCUGCCUAACAUUCCUGUUACAUCAGUAGCUUCGAAUCAUAGAGGGGUAGGAGCAGGACUCCAGCAGGAAACUAGAGGUCAGCAAAAAAGCAAGCAGCCCAGACAUCACAGCACUUGAGAUGGAAACAUGUCAUGGACUCCUGUAAGGAGAAGGAUUGUCUUUGAUAACUCAUUUCUUUGUGUACUUGAACCCUAUGGGGUCCUCUGAGUCCUGCUUUCCUCAGUACCUGCAUUAACUACAAUAGUCUCUGAAGUCCUAGGAUUGUGGUUGCUUACCAGUAUGAAGUUGAGCUUCCUUAAGUCUUGAGAGAAAACAUUCCUCUGACAGGAAGAGACUGUCUCCACUCAUUCCAUUGGAAUGACCAACCCCAACCAAGUCUUCAUGUCCAGCGGCUUGGAAGAAACAAGCACCACUUGGUUCAUCUGAUGACCCUGGAUCCCAAGCCAGUUGGGAAGGGAAUAUGCCCUAAAAGCUGCAUAGCAUUCAAUUUGCUGAACUCUCGGGGGAUCUCUGCCCCAUCUUAGGCAUUCUUUUCCAACACCCACUCCCACAGGUGAACUCCUGAGAGACUGAGGGAUAGUGGGUACGACACACUUCUGAGGGGAUCAGACAAAUUUCUCCACAAACCGUUCCCAGAUGGCAACGUCCCUAGGAAACCAUCAACCAGACCACAGCCACCUCUUGACCACACCACAUUCCAACAACCCGCUCAGUUCCUGAGCUGUGUGUGGUGCACUGGGUGGGUUUUGUCCGUCAGUGGCCAGAAGCAGUGAAGGUGAAACUCCUCAUCCUGCCGAGACCCCACAGCCACACUGCCGCCCUCGCAGGUUGAGAUGACAGCACAGGGUACCAGCUCUGCUAACCCAUCCAUCUCAGCUCUUAGAGUUGUAUUUUUCAUGGUGUGGGUCUCUUGAGAUUGUGCUUGAAAAAUGUGAAUAAUCAUUCUGGAAUAAAGAACUAAUAAGCUUGUAUUCAAAAACAUAACUUGUAAACAACAGCCAGAUUGGUACAGCCAAGAGACUUUUUUCUUUUCUCAGAACACUGUAGAGAUACGGCUCAAAAUAAUUUAAUUAGCUAGAGUCCUCUAUCGACAUGGCACAACACAAGAGAGCAUGGCUAUACAGUGUUGUACCCCAAAAUAAAGGUAAAAAUUAUACCAACAACCCAACUCCAUAACAACAGUGAAUUCUGCAAGCCACAGAGAUAAAGUACACUCUUGUGACAUCAUAAUUCCCUCUUCUUCAACCCUUUGUGGGAAGAAGGUUUGGUCCCAGUUAAGAGGUAGGGAAAAUCCAGGUAGAUGAUCAUAAGUGACUUUGCUCAAAUCCAGGCAGGGUUGAAAGAGCAACCAGGAGCAAAUCUCAGAGCAGCCAAACCACAGCUCCUCAUGGAAAGGCCUCCUGUGAGCUUCAUAAGUGACAGAACAAGUACUGACUCCUGGUGAGUGGAAGCCAGUACCUGGCAUGGAAACCUGCCCUUCCAGGAAAACAGAGACUGCACCAAAACCCAGGGCAGGGCUGCGCACUGUCCAAGACAGCUGCUUUCAGCUCCCUUUAUCCUUGUGGUCAGUCUCCCAUGAGGGAUACGAUGCUCCAAACAUCGUGUUUGUCUUGUCCAGACCCCUGCCCUUGCAUAUCAGGUCAUCUGAAAGGCAAACUCUCCAGUUCAGCUGACUUUUCAUCAUGGAACGUGAGCUGUCAGCAAGAAAGACCUGCCUGGACUUGGGGGGAAUGACACAGAGGACAGAAGGGCCAGCAACAGAGUGCUUGGAAAGGGGUCCAGUCAAAGAGGAGAACUAGAAAGGACAGUAUCCUCAGAAUUUCCCACACCAGCCAUCCUCUUAAAAGAAGGAGAGAGUUGAUCUCUGACCUUCCCACAUGAGCAGAGCAGAUGGCUUGCAUGAGAGAGGGGCCCGACCCAAACCAUCCUGCGCAGAGGUCUCCCGUCAGGUCUCCUUAUGCUGUGAAGUGUUCCAGGCUCCCUCCUCCCCACAGAAGUGGUAAAAGUGCUCUGCGAUGGGCCUGGCCGCCCAAAUGCCCCAGCCUCCCUCAGCGCUGGUGCAUGCCUGGCCACCUCCACCGGGAGGUCCUCCAUGUUGUUUGGACCGAGUUAGCCCUAUGGAUAGGGGCAAACCAGCAGGAUUUGGGCAUCAACCCAUUUUUCUUGUAAUAGAUUUCAAUUUUAUUAAAAAACUUCUAAAGUAUUUAUCUCCUUAACAAACAGUGCUACACACACAAUCUGCCUGUGUGUGGGUGCCUUUGGAGGAGAGUUCUCGCUGAAACCAAGCUUGAGUGGAAAGCCCUCGGGAAAGGCCGGGUCACCAGUACUUGCGUCAAGUAGUGAUCAUACUCCACGAACCAUGUGGAAAGGAUUUCAGAUCAAUGGGAAUAGCAGAAUGGUAACCUCGCACACCGAUGAAGGGAAACAGGCUUCCUUAACUUCAGUAUGCUAACAUGCUGUGUGCCUAGUGACCACCGAGGGGAAGGAAUGCAGCGCCGUGUUUUCCAAACUUCUCUGCCCUUGGAAUCCUAUGCUAACGGAGCAGCGUAUCAGACCAAUGGCCCAGGGAAUAAAUAGGCUUUGUGAAACUGGACUGUUGCUCUCCAAACUCUUCCCAACUUCAGAAUUCUGUGCAUCUGUGAACUUCAUGGAAAACCUAAGGCAGAUUUCUUUCCUCCCUCUUCUGCUAGAAUAAAAGAUCGACUUUGCUUCUGCUCAAGUAGAUAAGAGAGACCAGACCCUGGCUUGAGUCUGAAGCAUGUUCGCUGAACUGUAAAGGUGUCAGGUUGUGUGAUUUUGUUUUUACAGUGUACUUUCUCCCAAAGCCAAACUGAUUGAAACAGAAAUGAACUCUUGUCCACCACAGCCAACCAAAAUGCAAACGUUUGGCUAGUUCAAUAUGUAUUUCUAAUUUAUGUGAAUAUAAUCUUCUUUAAACAGCAGACUGGGGACGCCAGACUCAUUCCGACCUAGCUCAUUUUCUGUUCCUAAUUAAUACUUUGAGGUUUUGCCUCCCAUUUAAUUCGGGAUCCUAGACAUCUUUCCCUCAAUUUAGAGAGGAGAACCAUUGAAAGUCAAGCAGGCAUUCAUCUGAGUUGAAGCCUAAGGAUUGCGCUGAGCACCAUGCUGAGGUCUGUGCCCUCCAGGGGUUAGGAGUUCAUAUACAGGAAUGUGGUCAUAUAUGAAGCUCCACGUGGCCGGGUAGCUCUCUUCUGAGCUCUUGAAAAAAAAAAUUGUCAUUUCAGUUGCCAAAAAUAGAGAUCCAAGGUUUGAGAAUAUUCAUCUGAUUUAAAAGUCAGAUAGCAAAUAACGUCCCCUGGGAGCCCCUCAAAGCUGGCAGCCACCAAGGGACUCCUGAAUGUAAGGGGGACCCGGCUUCACUGUGUUUUCCUGGGAGGCUCCCAAGGCCCUGGUGAGGGCCUCCCUGGGGAUACCUGGUGGUGAGGGCCCCAAAAAGUGCCACUGGAGAGAUGCUGACAUCUGUACAUUGGUUCCAGGGAGACAGCCCAGGGACCAGGGUUACCUGAAGAUGAUCCGGAGGUUCUUUCUUCACCUGUGUGGAAAUAAAGACCCAACCCUACAAGGACAAGCGAAGGCUACUUACUCAGUGCUUGCUAUAGCAUCACAUGCGUUUGAGUAGAGACUCGGAAGCAGGCAAGGUGGGAAGGCUUCUCAGGGAAAGAAGGAAUGGCUCAGGUGGGUGUUGACGGAGGCUGUUGGUCAGGAAGCUAGAGCAAGCUGCCCAGGAGCAGGGCUUCCAUGUGGUUGCUUAGCAGUGCGUAGCUGACUCUGCUGGGCUGCUCCUAAAUUAGAAGCAGGGACAAAAAUUAGAAGUGGUGUUAUUAAUCAAGUCCUGACGAUUUGGGGCCAAUUUUUACAGAGUUGUUUGUGUGACUUCCUGAGUCGUUGCUGGAGAGAGCAACCUGACUUCGACCAAGCUGGCUUUCUACAAUGAUUCCUGUAGAUUGUACAUCAGUUUUUAGCGAUGGUCUGGCCAUUGUCCAUUUAUAUAUUCAGUCCCUCAGUUUAAAGAAGCAAAUUUCUAAUUUUCUUGAAUUUUAUCCUCAUCAGAACCUACCCCUACUGAACAACACAUUAAUCGACAUUAGUAACAUUGUCUCACCACUGCAUAAUUCUACUUUUAAAUACACCAGGAGUAACAAAUGCUGCCCAGAGUCAUGCAUCUUGCCCCUGUUUCUAAUUUGAAUUCACAAACAUGGAAAAGGCGCAGUGAACUAUGUGCCUUUCAGAAACAAUAGUAAUGGGGAAAACACGGGAGCCACUAGAGGUGAUGUAAGAAAGAUGAUGAAGAAAUAGAAACGCUAUUCUAGCUACAUUACCAUUUUAUUGCAAACCCCAUUUUAGUUUUGCCGCCUGAGUUCACUCCCAAGGAACACAAAAACUGCCUACAAUGCUCACAGUGAACUCUUGAAAGCUUCCAAAAUUUCUGUGGCAGAAAUGGAACAAUGAAUCUCUUUACUGAUAGAGAUUAGUCCAGGGAAAUCCUGUUCACCCCAUAACAAGGCUGUGCUGUUACCAAGCCACUUGCUUUUGAAAUCUUUAAAUAAGAAUUUUCCCACCUCUAUAGAGUAGUAGCAUCUUGAGGAAGAAAACGGAUUCUGAAUCCCACUGGAGGAGGGAGAGAUGGAGGCAACUCUGAGAGAGCGUGGCAGCACGUUACUAUUAAAGGUGCCCUGUUUCCAGAAAUUCAUAGAGCAUCUAAUCCUCUACUGAUCCAGUCACUGGACCUGCAAGCAUCUCAGUAGAAGCUGUGUAAAACGUAAAUGGCAGCUUUUUCAGAACUCUUGACUUCCGUGGGCUCCCAUUUAAGUAAUCCAGCCUGCCCAUGUACUUGCUGCUGGGUAAACAUAAUUAUCUCUACCUCUGCCUAAGCAGUGAGCCUGUUGUUGGGCUAUUGUCUCCUGAACCCUACUGUUUUGAUGAGAAUGGUACUUUCAGCUAAGGGUUGAAUGCAAUGGCAUCCUGGCAAAAUGUUUAGCAACCAGCUCUCCAGAAACAAAACUCUGAAUGCAUGAAUAUACAUGUUAAGCAUAUAAAUUGUAAUAAAUUUUAAAUGGUAAAUGGCAUAAAAGGUGUGUGACACAAUUACAAAUAAUAAAAUAAGCAAUACUCUUCAUUAUGAUUCCAUGUAGCCAGUUGAUUCUCACAGAAUGCUUUUGUUGAUUUUUGCCAAAUGCUUGCAUCCAUAGCCGAAUCUACAGGUGCAGUUGGCAAACAGGCGUAGUUCUGACAUAAACGUUGGGUGAUACUUUCAUUUACAUUUAUGAGCAAGACAGAAGUGAAACAACAAAAGAUGCAUGUCCAGUGAAGUGUCAGAACCUUGACUUAUCAUUGGAGACAUGAGCAAUUCCUUUGCUAAAUUGAAUAAUAGUUUUCAAAUAUUUGAAGAAAAUUUCCUCAAUUUUUUAUGCUAUUCACAAUGUAAUGCCAAUGGACACAACACACUUUUCAAUUUAAACUGAGUUAUUAACAUUGUCUCCAUCACUUUCUAAGUCUAGAGCUUGAAACAAUAAAACAAAAU
This is a long non-coding RNA of Canis lupus familiaris (dog), 6476 nucleotides long. RefSeq lists it as uncharacterized. Lineage: Eukaryota; Metazoa; Chordata; Mammalia; Carnivora; Canidae. The record is from RefSeq and is a predicted model, not a curated record. The transcript is spliced from 3 exons.